AGCAACGCCAACCGACUGCAAUGAUUCUCCCCCACUCCGCGCACAAACCCAAAAGCAGAUAAGGGAGAAGAAAGACGCCACCUAAUAAUGUCCUAAUCCCCCGACCUCCUCCCCUCGAUCGAAAUUCCAAUUCCAAGGAGAGAGAAAAAAAUAGCGACUGAGAGCAACGGUGCGUGCGUGCGAGCGAGGGAACCCAGGCGAGGUAGCGGAUCCCCCGGACGGACGGGUGGUUCUAGGGUUAGGGUUUGCGGCGGCGUUGGGGCUGGGGACCGUGCGUGCGCCUCCUUCGACGGCGAGCCGGAUGCUAUGCUGCUAGGCUGCGGGUCGCUCUCCUCGUGGGUGCGCCGCCUCGUCGCCUGCGUGGGAAAUUGUUUUGGAUGUGCGAAGUCUACUCCUAUAACAGCUGUUGAUGAGCCUUCUAAAGGUUUAAGGAUUCAAGGGCGCUCGAUUAAACAUCGUAGUUUGUCUGAAGAUUUUUGGAGUACAAGUCCACGUGAAAUGGAGAACAGUGCCUUGCAGUCACAGCGUAGUAUGUCUUCCAUCAGCACAGCAGCACAAUCUAGUGAGCAGCAUGGAGCUGGAAGUAGCAGCAACCCAAAUGAGUUUGUAAAUCAAGGUCUUCUACUCUGGAACCAGACUAGACAGCAGUGGGUUGGAAACAGAAGGCUUAAUUCUCAGCGUCAAAAGACCCGGGAGCCAAAAAUAGGUUGGAAUGCUACAUAUGAGAGCCUGCUAGGAAGCACCAAGACAUUUGCACAGCCGAUCCCUCUUGGUGAAAUGGUAGAUUUCCUCGUGGACGGCUGGGAGCAGGAGGGCCUAUAUGAUUAGCUGCUUAAUUAAAGGGUGGUGGUAUUGUCUGGGGUCUCGUUGUUAAUCGCUGGAAUGUACUCAACUUUGGUUUAAUCAAAGCGUGUGGGUGAUGAAUGUGGAUUAUCCUCGUGACAGGAUGGCAUCCCUUUUUCUUUUAAAGUAAAUGUAACAUAUUUUUAUCCUACUAUUUUUUUUAACAUUUAGCAUUGUGGUCUCCCCCUGCCUAGUUUAUGUGUUUAUUUACAUUUAUUUAGUAGCAGGAAACAGUCUUGGACUCGGAGAGUUUGUGAUCUUUUCUUACGUGAGAGUAAGGAAUGGAAAUGGGACGUUGGUGCGGGAGGUGUUCUGGCCAAAAGAUGCGCAGGAGAUCUUGAAGAUAAAACUACCCAAACGGGAGGAGGAUCAUCCAGGCACUUCUUUGUUUGAAGUGCGUACAAGCUGGCAUAGUAAUUUGAAGCAGUCCGAUGAAAAUCAGACCGGAAGUAGUAUUGCUCGGAAGGGCGACCGGAAUAUGUGGAACUUGGUGUGGAAUGUUAAAUCCCUAGCCUCUGAUAAUCUCGCUACAAAGCAG
This 1381-nucleotide ribosomal RNA is filed under the name Triticum aestivum (bread wheat). Its description in RNAcentral is "partial small subunit ribosomal RNA". The record is from RNAcentral. Lineage: Eukaryota; Viridiplantae; Streptophyta; Magnoliopsida; Poales; Poaceae.